AGUUGAAUGAUCUUUGUAUUUACAGUGAACCCUCAAAUGAUGAUGUGUUGUCUUUUUAUUGGCGGAGAAGUAUUUUCCUCCACACCUGGUUAUUUAUUUUUUAAAUUUUUUUUUUUACUUGACAAUGUAGAAAGGCGAACACUAAGCACAUCGCUGGCGGUCCUACUAAUCAACAACUAAUUUUUUCCAAUAAAGUAAAACUUACCACGCCAAUGUUUUAUUGAUUGGACCUAUCUACGGCAUUGAAGAUCAACGAUCAUGGUUCGAGUGAGUACCGACCUUUGUAUGCAAACCCCGACCACCCCGAACUCGAUAUUUCGAUGACCCUUUGUUAGCGAGUGAACUUCUAAUACCAAAUCAAAACUGAUAUUCAAAACAUUGACAUCAAAUCAUAGCUUUUCCUUCUCAGACACUCGUCUUCACUCACUCAACCCCUGUAUAUAUUCAUAUAUAUAUAUACACACACACACUACCUCAUUAAAUAUGAUCACCUGUGUAUAUAACUACAAAAUUGCAUCAACCCAUUUGCGUCCGAGCCAUUCGACGAAAUGUCCCACUCACUGAAACUUUCCUCUAAUGGUUUCUGUUGGAGGAACAAAAUGUAGCUGAGUUACCGGCAGCAAUGGAGCACUGUGGUCCGGUGCUUGUGGCCCAGAAGGUCUAUGCUGAUGUCUACAAAAGGUGUCAUCACCGGCCAACUCCGGGAAUUGGCGUCUGCGGCACUGCCAGGACCACAAAGCUAGACAGCGCAUUGGCAUGAAUGCCCACUUGAAUUCCCUAUCUGGGGUGAGGGGGCCCUUGGCACAAAGCUAAGAUUGCUCCAUUGUGACUUGGAGGGCUGGAGGUUUCGGGUUGAAACAAGUAACAGCGUAAUGGCGGCAGGUUUCGGGUUGAAACAAGUAACAGCGUAAUGGCGGCGUACAUCGAACUCUCUCCAGACUGCAAAGUGGUGGGAACCUGGUGCGCUGGACUAGCCUUUUAUUCUCUCAGGGAAUGAGGUCAUGUACAACCAUUAUGAUAAGAAGUCUGGGCAGAAGGCUCCUCUUGUUUCAGAUGAUAUUUUUGGAAUUAUCUUGAAGGGUAACACAUUAAGAGCGGAUCACAAUGCUGACACCAGAAGGCCGAGGUUGUAUGUCUACUGCAAAAAUUGACUAUGAGUGCAUGACUUGUGGAAUUAAGUGCUUUGUUUAAAAAUCUAAGGAAUGUUGCUUUUAGUUGAGAAUCCCCUUGUGCAAGCAGGAGCAUGAGAUCAGCUUUUCUGAGCAUCUUUUUGCUGCAGAAUGAAAAUAGAUAUAUUUGUUGAAGUCUUCAAGCGAUGGGUGUAAGUUCCAACUUGAGCAUGAUAUAGUUUAGCUAGGCUGUUAUGUUGUAUAGCUGCUUCUUCUAUGAGCUUUUAACUUGGUAUUACGUGUCUGAAUUUGCCAGUAGUGUUUUUGUAUUAGAGUUAAUAUUCUUUCCAAGGGCUUAGAAAUGCAAUAUGCAACAAAAGUAUGUAUAUGAUUCUUUUUUUUCCUGGCAAAUAACUCACCCACUUUUCCCCAAUGGGGACUCGAACUCUCAACCUUCAUUUUCAAAGGUAAAGGAGAUAUCACUGGGCAUCGGCCCUUCGCUUAUAGUUGCCUUCUCUGAUUUGUUAAUUAUAAAAGGCAUGUUGGUGCUGUAUGCAUAGUCUAAUAUUAGAUGCAUGCUAAUCAUCUUAAAAGUCCUGCUGCUGCAAUUCCUCAAAGCCAGAAUCUAAUGAAUAGAUCGUGCAUUAAUGGGCCUUGCGGCCCUUUUCUCCCACUGGGCCUUUGGUGCAGACCUUCUGAAUUGAUACUUUUUUCUUUUUUCCUUCUUCUUCUUUGGGGUCAUUGUAUUGCAUUAUGUGGCACAUACUAAAGUUGUAUGGUUUAUUGUUGAAGUGAUUUGUCCUUGUACUUAUUAUGUGGACUUCAUCAAUGAUGUUAAAUUUGAAAAAUCAUUUGAGAAGAACUAUAUUUUCAAAGUGAAUGUUCAGAGCAGUAACUGUAUCAUGUGAAGUUAGUUUGUGGAAUGACUUGGAGAAGACCAAGGUAAGGACAAAAUUACUAGACUUUGGUCUUAUUUUAUUUUGUAUUUUUAUCUUUUAAUUUCUUCUCGGAGGCGGCGGCGAUGGCGAUGGCUAUUGCAAUUUGUCUUGUUCAAAGGUCAAUAGUAUUUGUUUUGAAUUGAAACGUUGAAUUUUAAGUUUGAUUUGUCUUUACUUUGAGCCGUUGGCUUCAACAUGGAUGUUCUAGUUUUUAUCAGAUCUCAAGCAAGUUGCUUCUGGUUUGGCUCUUUCUGUAAUAGUGGACCUUUUAUUUUCCAUUUGGUAAACGAUAGGACUAGAGCAUGUUUAAAAUGAUCAGAUAUUCGUUUAGCGAUUGACAGCACGAGUUCCGUAGACGGUGAUCAAGGAAAAGGUUAGAUUGGCACGCUCAUUUCACCAAUACACCGACCAUGGAAUCUUAGUGGGGUUUGCAGUUUCGUUGCUUAGUUCCCUUGUGAGUCAUGUGUUUAACUCAAAAGUCAUACAGAUGAUAGAUAUAGGACAAGUAUCGUAAGCAGAAAUCUCACUAUAAGUACUUAAAAUAAAUUUUUUCUACUUUCUUUAGGAUUAUAUUCUUUUCUUUGUCAGUUUAAACAAGUUGAUAUAGCCAAAUUAGUCUACAUUCUACCACUGAGAGCGUGAGUUUGAAGUCCAUCAAAAGUUACAUCCAUUAGUAUUCCUUGGACCCCAUAGACAUCCCUUUAAGAAAAGCGAUAGCAAAGUAGAAUGUCAAAACUUGGACAUGAUUGUGGUUGAGUUGUUAAUUCACAACUCUGUUUAGAUUAAGCUAGUUGUUUUAUCACUGUCGUCGUCGUCGUCGUCGUUGUCAUCAUCAUCAUCAUCAUCCUUGGCUUUAUACGGGGUCGGCCGCAUAGAUUCUCUUUUAUCAUAAGUAAUUUCUCCUACUAGAUUUAAUUUUUAAAAAUCAUUUUUUUAUUACUUCAUUCCAUGUUAGUUUCGGUCAACCUGUGUCUUUAUCUUCUAUGCAAAACAAUCUCUUUCCUCUCACCGGCGCAUCUAUGGGUCGGUAUUUAGUGUUCAUUUUACUUUAUUAGCAGUAAUUAGUGCUCAUUUUUUUACUGCAUUUAUGACUAUUGACAGGAGGAACUAUGAAGUGAUUGCGGGAUCUGCAGUUAUCAGAGAUGCGGACUGAUGGUGAUUUUAGGUUUAUUUUCGGAUUCGCAAUAAUUCUGUUGAAGGGUGUUUAGUUUUGCAAAUUGAUAUUACAGCUUUGACUCAUGGUGAUAUAUUCAAGCAUCGAGCUAACUUUGAAACGGGUAAUCUCAACCCGGAGACGACAAAAUUGCAAGACUUGCUUGUUCAUGAUAUUGCUUUCCAUCAUAAGUCCACCGUGAUCAUGAAGACUUAAAACUGGGGCUCUGAAUUCUUUUUUUCUUUGUUUCAUUGGUUUCUAAGUCUGCAUAGCCCCACCAGCCACUUGGAGUUUCUGGACCAGGGUCACCACUUGUACAAGUUGCACACACACACACACACACACACAUAUAUAUAUAUAUGCUUUCAAGUUCUAUGUUCAAAUCAUAGUUUCUGAAUUCAACCUAGGAUAUUCUGAUUUUUAGUGUGGAACAGAAAAAAGGGUGCCUAUGAUUUUGUGUUAGGCGUAUUUGACUGGACGAUGAAUGAAAGGAACAUAA
Long non-coding RNA from Cornus florida, 3699 nucleotides. RefSeq lists it as uncharacterized. Lineage: Eukaryota; Viridiplantae; Streptophyta; Magnoliopsida; Cornales; Cornaceae. The transcript has 4 exons. The record is from RefSeq and is a predicted model, not a curated record.